GAAAAGAAAUGGCUAUGCCCCAAUCUAAGAUAUCCAUACCAUGUCAGAAUCCCAUAACCAUACAUAUGGUCAAAGUCAGAGAGCUGAAAACACUACAAACAUUCAUUCCUAGAACAACAUCGAUUUUAUUCCGCAACAUCCAAUAUCCACAAAAAACUGAUAUAGGCUAUGCCCUAGUGUGUACAUUUGAUAUGCAAAUGCCUCGGUAAAAAAACAACUCUGAAAUAUAUCACUGAAGACCCAAUCAUCUGGAUAAGAGCACACGACAAAGUAUGGGGUAUGCCCUAGUGUGCACACCCAUUGGGUCGACGAAUACACAUGAAUCUGAUCUCGGGCCAUCUCUUAGAAGCAAGUUGUUGUAUGAAGAAACCAAGCUAAAUGUGGGGGCCUACUCAAACAUUGAUGCCAAGCGUCACCAGGUGAAAUGGGCUGCCUGCGUCCUAGUGUAAGAACUGAUGCCAUCAUGCAAGGAUAAGGGUAUGCCCUAGUAUGAAUAUAACAAACUAGCAAGCGGAGGGGGUCCUGGACAAUCUUGAC
This 537-nucleotide long non-coding RNA is filed under the name Vitis vinifera (wine grape). Its description in RNAcentral is "long non-coding RNA (VVIN_LNC007036)". The record is from RNAcentral. Lineage: Eukaryota; Viridiplantae; Streptophyta; Magnoliopsida; Vitales; Vitaceae.